UGGGGGAAUUUUGGACAAUGGGCGAAAGCCUGAUCCAGCAAUGCCGCGUGUGUGAAGAAGGCCUUCGGGUUGUAAAGCACUUUUGUCCGGAAAGAAAUCCUUGGCUCUAAUACAGUCGGGGGAUGACGGUACCGGAAGAAUAAGUACCGGCUAACUACGUGCCAGCAGCCGCGGUAAUACGUAGGGUGCAAGCGUUAAUCGGAAUUACUGGGCGNAAAGCGUGCGCAGGCGGUUUGCUAAGACCGAUGUGAAAUCCCCGGGCUCAACCUGGGAACUGCAUUGGUGACUGGCAGGCUAGAGUAUGGCAGAGGGGGGUAGAAUUCCACGUGUAGCAGUGAAAUGCGUAGAGAUGUGGAGGAAUACCGAUGGCGAAGGCAGCCCCCUGGGCCAAUACUGACGCUCAUGCACGAAAGCGUGGGGAGCAAAACAGGAUUAGAUACCCUGGUAGUCCACGCCCUAAACGAUGUCAACUAGUUGUUGGGGAUUCAUUUCCUUAGUAACGUAGCUAACGCGUGAAGUUGACCGCCUGGGGAGUACGGUCGCAAGAUUAAAACUCAAAUGAAUUGACGGGGGCUGCAUAGCUGUUUUCCUAG
Molecule: ribosomal RNA, 593 nt
Filed under: uncultured bacterium
Lineage: Bacteria
Description: partial 16S ribosomal RNA
Rfam family: Bacterial small subunit ribosomal RNA
Source: RNAcentral